CCGGCGCUCACACCAAAGAAGUUGGAUGCACUGAAAGGUGCCUACCUACAACGCUUGGAAGCCAGGGGCGAGACUGCAGAGGCCAUUGGCAAAAAAAUGUCCAAAGUUCGAGCGACGUUAAAUGACAAAUUAAAGUCUCUGAAGAAGCCCUA
Long non-coding RNA from Ornithodoros turicata, 152 nucleotides. RefSeq lists it as uncharacterized. The transcript has 2 exons. The record is from RefSeq and is a predicted model, not a curated record. Lineage: Eukaryota; Metazoa; Arthropoda; Arachnida; Ixodida; Argasidae.